Long non-coding RNA from Ipomoea nil (Japanese morning glory), 518 nucleotides. RefSeq lists it as uncharacterized. Lineage: Eukaryota; Viridiplantae; Streptophyta; Magnoliopsida; Solanales; Convolvulaceae. The record is from RefSeq and is a predicted model, not a curated record. The transcript is spliced from 2 exons.
UAGGUUGAGAAAGUAUAUGAACAGAUACUAUAUUGUAAUAGAGCCAAUAGCAUUCAAAAAAAUAUAUGCUAAUUGAAGUUACAGUUUAUAUUGAUAUGCUUUAGUUAUGCACAUUAUAUAUGUAUUACUUACAAUGUUUUAUGUUUGUAUACUUUAUGUACAAUGUAUAUACUUAGGCAUCAUCAUCUUUUUACCAUAAACCAAUCAAUAAAAGGUUAAGUUUCAUCCACAACCUCAUUAGGGUUAGCACAUUGAUUGAAUUUCCUCAUUUCUAUAUGAUGAACCCCUUUAUAAUUCAACAUAUGAAAAGUACAAACUAACAUUUUGGGUUGACACGAACUGAACUCGUAAUGACGUUUUAGGUAAGAGAAUUAUGUUCCAUCUCUUUCAAAACAAGUACAAAUUAAUCUUAACUUGACUUGCUAAUUAAAAUAAGUUAACACAACAUUAAUCUUAUAGAAAACUAGAUAUAUAGUAAUUAAGCUUGACCAUAACACCAUAUUUAACGGCUGCAAAUU